This 368-nucleotide ribosomal RNA is filed under the name uncultured bacterium. RNAcentral's name for it is "bacterial SSU rRNA". It matches the Rfam family "Bacterial small subunit ribosomal RNA", at positions 917 to 1289 of the family's 1533-position model. The record is from RNAcentral.
GGGCCCGCACAAGCGGUGGAGUAUGUGGUUUAAUUCGAUGCAACGCGAAGAACCUUACCAGGGUUUGACAUCCUGCGAAUCUCUUGGAAACGAGAGAGUGCCUUCGGGAACGCAGUGACAGGUGGUGCAUGGCUGUCGUCAGCUCGUGUCGUGAGAUGUUGGGUUAAGUCCCGCAACGAGCGCAACCCACGUCUUUAGUUGCCAGCAUUUAGUUGGGCACUCUAGAGAGACUGCCGGUGAUAAACCGGAGAAGGUGUGGAUGACGUCAAGUCAUCAUGCCCCUUACAUCUGGGCUACACACGUACUACAAUGGUAGGGACAACAGGUUGCCAACCCGCGAGGGUGAGCCAAUCCCCAAAACCUAUCUC